Molecule: ribosomal RNA, 429 nt
Filed under: Verrucomicrobiota bacterium
Lineage: Bacteria; Pseudomonadati; Verrucomicrobiota
Description: Verrucomicrobia bacterium partial 16S ribosomal RNA
Rfam family: Bacterial small subunit ribosomal RNA
Source: RNAcentral
UAGGGAAUCUUCCGCAAUGGACGAAAGUCUGACGGAGCAACGCCGCGUGAGUGAAGAAGGAUUUCGGUUCGUAAAACUCUGUUGUUAGGGAAGAAAAAAUGUAUAGUAACUAUAUACAAAAGAGACGGUACCUAACCAGAAAGCCACGGCUAACUACGUGCCAGCAGCCGCGGUAAUACGUAGGUGGCAAGCGUUGUCCGGAAUUAUUGGGCGUAAAGCGCGCGCAGGUGGUUUAGAAAGUCUGAUGUGAAAGCCCACGGCUCAACCGUGGAGGGUCAUUGGAAACUAAUAAACUUGAGUGCAGGAGAGAAAAGUGGAAUUCCUAGUGUAGCGGUGAAAUGCGUAGAGAUUAGGAGGAACACCGGUAGCGAAAGCGGCUUUUUGGCCUGCAACUGACACUGAGGCGCGAAAGCGUGGGGAGCAAACAGG